CCAGCACCACCUACACACACCCUGGUCACUGAGGACUUCUCGAACGAUGGCCUCACUGAUCUUAUCAUUGUGACCAACACCGGGGUGUACGGGUUCGUACAGACCAGGCAACCAGGCGCCCUCUUCUUCAGCACCCUGGUUGGUUGCCUCAUACUUGUAAUGGGAGUCGUAUUUGUUACCCAACACCUCAACUCCAUAAAGGGCAAACCUCGUGCUUCAUCUGCUCAGUGAAAGAAGCACUGCUUUCAUAAUGAAUAUACUAAACGAAUGAUUGCCACAGCCCUGAAGAAGCAAAGAGAGUUCAUUGAUAUCUUCCUUUGAUGAAGAAAAAUCGGC
RNAcentral lists this long non-coding RNA (336 nucleotides) under Prunus persica (peach). RNAcentral's name for it is "long non-coding RNA (PPER_LNC007446)". Lineage: Eukaryota; Viridiplantae; Streptophyta; Magnoliopsida; Rosales; Rosaceae. The record is from RNAcentral.